AACCACAAAGCCCAGAAUGAACAACACCAAACUACAGGUUCCUGCUCCACACUCGCUCAGAUUUCACAAUGAUUCUUCAGAGUGGCCAGUAUUGUAAAACAUCCUGCACUACUAUGAGAGGCACUGCAUGACCGAGCCAAUCUGGUACCCACCGUCAUGGCUCACUGAAGAAUAAUUACCCGCCUGUGAAGGAAAUUCAGACACUGAGUUGCGAUGAGGUAUAACACGAGUCAAGCCAACCAGUCAUUGUAAUAAGAAAAUACAUUUAUUGGAAAAGA
Molecule: long non-coding RNA, 278 nt
Filed under: Astyanax mexicanus (Mexican tetra)
Lineage: Eukaryota; Metazoa; Chordata; Actinopteri; Characiformes; Acestrorhamphidae
Description: lncRNA (ENSAMXG00005024345.1)
Source: RNAcentral